UCACGGUGGCCAGGUAGAGGAACUUCCCGCCCUCCAGCGGGAGGUAGGUGAUGUCGCCGACGUACUUGGUGUUCGGUUCGCCGGCUGUGAA
This 91-nucleotide transfer RNA is filed under the name Streptomyces chromofuscus. Its description in RNAcentral is "tRNA-Trp". Lineage: Bacteria; Bacillati; Actinomycetota; Actinomycetes; Kitasatosporales; Streptomycetaceae. The record is from RNAcentral.